UUUGUAAAACAGGGUAGCGCUGAGUCUUUCCAUAGCAAGGCAGCACAUAAUUGACCCAAAAAGGACCAGCAGCCAUACGUUAUUCUCAAAGAUGGGCAGCACCAAAUCUCUUUCCAUGAAGGGCACCGAAUCCAUGCAAACCUACCGCAAGAGACAAGACCCACCGAACUACAAAGGCUUUUCUUUCCAAAAGCUUGGCAGCACAAAAGGAUCAAACACAUGAUUUCUUUCCAUGGUCAAUUCCAGAGAAGAACAAGGCUGGCUAAGUCGACGCUAUCUGGUGGCCAAAAUGGGAAUCGGGUUACACCACAUGGGUGGAUGGAUCCACCUUGGACGUCUGGCUCGGGCCUAAGAUCCACCGACUCCCCUCGGUGGAUUCUGGGUGGAAUCUCUUCGUUGCCGCUGCCUUAGAAGUCCAGAACCUUCCGGGUGAGUCUCUCCAUUGCCAUUGUCUCGGAAGUUCGGGAGCCUCGGAAAUCCCCAUCUCCUUCUCAUCAAAACUAAGAACAUUAGUUUUUCCUGUAGGAACAAUUACGGGACAACACACUACUCGUGUAAUCACUCCAUCUCGGCUUCCUUGCUUGCAAGCAAUCGCGAUUCUCGGCCUUCCUGUCAAGAACUGAAUCGAGCGGGUUGGGUCGGAUGUUGUCCAUGGUGCCCGGUUCCAAAUCUGGUUCAGGCUUUGGUGAGUCACAGCCAGAGCUCGGUUCCAUGGACAUGAGCCAGUUGAGAAGAUGGUGCGGGUCCGGGCAUGCUUUGAGAUGUCUAUGAUCUUGAAAUGCUCCAGGUUCGGUUAGGAGAAGAGAUCUUGAACAGGACUGGAUCGGGUAGAAUCGCCGGUUCUUCUUUCUCUACAUUCCAAGGAAUCUCCCAUUGGUGACGAAGUUUCGGGUUUAGUCAUUAUCUUGGAGGUCCAGUACCUUCUAACCCAUCACCCACGAUGAACAGGGGCUCAUCACGGGCAAUCACUGUUCCGUCGGGAUUCUGUCCAUCAUCAACAGAGUUGUCCUUCGCCUGAAGAUCUCCGGAAGAAAACAAUACAGUUCGGGGCUCCAACGUUUUACUGUGCGAAGGUCCGAAGUGCCGGGGAAUCCACGGGCUCCACGUGGUUGCCUCUUCUUCUUUUCUUCUUUUGUUUUUUCUUCUUCUUGACCCAUCUUUUCUUUUUCCUGGGCCUUUAUUUUCUUCUCUUUUUGAUGUAGCUUUUUGGGGUCCGAAGAAACAACACAGACUCAGGUUUUCUCUGAGCGUAGAUCAGCACCGAUUUGGUGUGAUUAGAUUCAGAUCUGAGAUCACAGAAAUCUUUGUCUAUUGGCGAAGAGAGAUUUUCAGAUUUGAUUUUAUCACGCAGUCACCGUUGCGGAUUUAUUUUUGAGAGAACUAAGUCGAGUUCCCACAGAUGGCGCCAAACUGUUGGUACAGUUUCCGGUCAUUGAGAGAGCAAUUGAGGUUUUGAGGCAAAAAGGUUGAAAAUUCAGAUUUUUUGGAAAUGAGCUCGAGCAUAACCCUGUUGAGUUCGAGCGCACGUGCCCA
This is a long non-coding RNA of Alnus glutinosa, 1533 nucleotides long. RefSeq lists it as uncharacterized. Lineage: Eukaryota; Viridiplantae; Streptophyta; Magnoliopsida; Fagales; Betulaceae. The transcript has 3 exons. The record is from RefSeq and is a predicted model, not a curated record.